CUACGGGGGGCUGCAGUGGGGAAUAUUGGACAAUGGGCGAAAGCCUGAUCCAGCCAUGCCGCGUGUGUGAAGAAGGCCUUCGGGUUGUAAAGCACUUUCAGUGGGGAAGAAAGCCUUGGGGCUAAUACCCUCGAGGAAGGACAUCACCCACAGAAGAAGCACCGGCUAACUGCCGUGCCAGCAGCCGCGGUAAUACGGAGGGUGCGAGCGUUAAUCGGAAUUACUGGGCGUAAAGCGCGCGUAGGCGGUCUGAUAAGCCGGUUGUGAAAGCCCCGGGCUCAACCUGGGAACGGCAUCCGGAACUGUCAGGCUAGAGUGCAGGAGAGGAAGGUAGAAUUCCCGGUGUAGCGGUGAAAUGCGUAGAGAUCGGGAGGAAUACCAGUGGCGAAGGCGGCCUUCUGGACUGACACUGACGCUGAGGUGCGAAAGCGUGGGUAGCAAACAGGAUUAGAUACCCGAGUAGUC
This 465-nucleotide ribosomal RNA is filed under the name Vreelandella stevensii. RNAcentral's name for it is "partial 16S ribosomal RNA". It matches the Rfam family "Bacterial small subunit ribosomal RNA", at positions 339 to 795 of the family's 1533-position model. The record is from RNAcentral. Lineage: Bacteria; Pseudomonadati; Pseudomonadota; Gammaproteobacteria; Oceanospirillales; Halomonadaceae.